Rattus norvegicus (Norway rat) is the source of this 2238-nucleotide non-coding RNA. NCBI's taxonomy places the organism in Eukaryota, Metazoa, Chordata, Mammalia, Rodentia, Muridae. The record is from RefSeq and is a predicted model, not a curated record.
GCACGGGUGAGCCAGGCAGAGGUAGAGUGAGUGACUGUCCAGAGAUGUUCUCUGGAGGAUGCCUUCUAACUGCAGCUCUCCACCGGCAGCAGCAUCCAGCGCUUGUUAGACACUGCGCUCUGUGCCUGUCUCAGGCAGAGGUCCCAGACACUGUGCCACACCAGGACCAGAGCCUCACCCUCCAGGACCUCCUCUCUUCUGCUCAGACUUAGAGCCUGCAAGACUAUUAGAGGGGUCCCAGCUUGUUUUAAACAACCCCAUACAUAGUCCCUUCCAGCUGUCCAUAGGAUGAGGAUCUUCCACACACUGAAGCCGGCUCAGCUCUCAUGCCCUCUGUUCAUCUCCAGAGAGGAGCAGAAAUGGAGCCAGUGAGCCACAUGGCAGCCACCAGCAGGCACACCAGUACCAUGUUGAGGAGUUUCAUGGUGAUAAGUUUCUGUCUCAAGCCUCUCUGGAGCAACCACCGAAUGUCUGGUGAAGCCAAGAGCUCUCUCCUGCUUCAUCCUGUACUGAGCUUUUAUCAGAAGGUCCAGGGUGCUUUCCCAGACGAUGGGGAAAAGGUGGGUGUUCCAGGGAGAAGGAAAUCAUACCCAGUGGCCACAUGGAAAACUCCUUUUGUCACCUCUCCUGGGGGGGGUGUUUGAGGUAUGUUUGGGUGCCUAGUGGCUUUGGGAACUUCCCUAAGUGCAAAAGCAGAUACCGAUCUUUACGUUCUUGACAAAAUACGUGGGAGCUGUCCUGGCUGAGUGGAAAGUCAAAAAAGGUGAGAGAGAGAGAGGAAGUGGCCUGUGCACAGCUUGUCUAACUCAUAUCAUCUCAUUCAAAGCAGCUACUGGCCUCAGAGAAGGACAAAGCAGAACAGCACAACCUGCAUCAAAUCGAGCCUGGGUCUCGGUUCCAGCUCUGCCCAUCAACGACUGCACAAAAGCACAUCUAAGCUGCACAUCCCUACAAAAUGGAACUAGUACAGAUCUCAAAUCUGGGUGGUAAGAGUGAAAUGCAGAGCUGGGGAGAUGGCUCGGUCAGCAAAGUACUAGCUACACAAGUGUGAGGAAUGGAGUUUGAUCUCUAGAACCCACAUAAAAAGUGGGGGUAGUGGAAUGGUCUUAUAAUUCCAGAGCUGGAGAGGCUGACAGGUUGAUCCUUGGGGCUGGCUGAGCCUAAAUGGAGAGCUCCAAGACCAGUGAGAGAACUUAUCUCAAAAACCUACCUAGGUUGGCUAGACUAAUCUAUGUUAGCCUGUGUGACUGAAAAAUCUUGUUCGUUGCUAAUUGAGUGGAGUACAACCAACUAGAUAGUUACAGCUCUUCCCAAAUACUCAAGUAUCAGCCUUCCAUUUUGCUCUCCUAUCUCCACUAUUUCAUCCCUACUGUAGCAUCGACCUGUACCACCUUCCUAGUCAGCUCCCUCCGUGCCCAGGCUGCUCAUUUCAAACACCCUUCCUCCAAUAAAAGUCAUUUGCCAGCCCCUCCAGGCAGACCUCAGCCUCCAUUGAAAGCCCUGUGUCCGAAUGGCAAUAAGAAGUCCUUGUUUUCCUCCAUCUCUCCAUUGGGGCUCCCUCCGUGCCACCAUGGCGUGUCUGAGUUGAAUGAGCCUUUCAAGACCUUUAGCAAUGAUGGCACUUGGCACUCCUGAGGGAGCUUUGUCGAAACUGGGAACGUCUUGGCUCCAUUUCAGAAGCAGAAUCAAAACUCAAGUGCCUGUACUUGUGAGAAGAAAACUCCAGGUGAUUGUCAAUGCACCAAGAGAUAACAUCUUCACCAUGCAGAGGAGGGGGGGUGACUUUCACAAAGAGUGAAAUCUUGGGCUUGAUGGUAUAUUGAGAAUUGGGAAAGUAGCAAGCAGAAAUUAUUGAUGGUGGAUUGACAAACAAAAAUGCCCCCAGGAUAAGCACUGUUAUCCUUCACACAAACAAACCUUCUUUCUGUUGCUUGUACUUAGGAGCCCUUGUCACUCAUCUUUCAUUUUCUAGGGACCACUGAGUGAGGAUGGGGACCAGGUGGCUGGCAACCAGGGUGGAGUCAUCCUGAGAUGCUGUCCAGAAGCAUUCGGCCCAGCCCUGCCUUCCACCUUCUACUGAGUUAUAUAUCAGGGAGAGGACAGUGACUAGAGCCAGACACAGCCACAACAGAUCUCAGUGCUACUACUUCACCUUGGGCAGGUAACACAGGCUUCCUGAGCUGUGUUUCCUCUUGGAUCUAGGACAACUCUACUACUGUUGAAAUAAACUUCCUAAAC